RNAcentral lists this ribosomal RNA (484 nucleotides) under uncultured bacterium. RNAcentral's name for it is "partial 16S ribosomal RNA". It matches the Rfam family "Bacterial small subunit ribosomal RNA", at positions 29 to 507 of the family's 1533-position model. The record is from RNAcentral.
AUUGAACGCUGGCGGCAUGCUUUACACAUGCAAGUCGAACGGCAGCGCGGGCUUCGGCCUGGCGGCGAGUGGCGAACGGGUGAGUAAUACAUCGGAACGUGCCCAGUAGUGGGGGAUAGCUCGGCGAAAGCCGGAUUAAUACCGCAUACGACCUGAGGGUGAAAGCGGGGGAUCUUCGGACCUCGCGCUAUUAGCGCGGCCGAUGGCAGAUUAGCUAGUUGGUGGGGUAAAGGCCUACCAAGGCGACGAUCUGUAGCUGGUCUGAGAGGACGACCAGCCACACUGGGACUGAGACACGGCCCAGACUCCUACGGGAGGCAGCAGUGGGGAAUUUUGGACAAUGGGCGAAAGCCUGAUCCAGCAAUGCCGCGUGUGUGAUGAAGGCCUUCGGGUUGUAAAGCACUUUUGGCGGGAACGAAAAGGACUGUGCCAAUACCACGGUUCGAUGACGGUACCCGCAGAAUAAGCACCGGCUAACUACGUG